Paramuricea clavata is the source of this 154-nucleotide non-coding RNA. The record is from the annotation of a GenBank genome assembly. NCBI's taxonomy places the organism in Eukaryota, Metazoa, Cnidaria, Anthozoa, Malacalcyonacea, Plexauridae.
AUUACGAGACUUGUUACAAGGUUGUUCUAAUAAGUCUGAUACAGUCAUGAUAUAACGAGAAUGUUACAAGGUUGACGACACAAGGUUGUAACAAUAUUGUUAUAUCAUGACUGUGUCGGACUUUUUGGAACAACCUUGCAACAAGCCUGAUAAU